This is a long non-coding RNA of Peromyscus californicus insignis, 2195 nucleotides long. RefSeq lists it as uncharacterized. Lineage: Eukaryota; Metazoa; Chordata; Mammalia; Rodentia; Cricetidae. The transcript is spliced from 2 exons. The record is from RefSeq and is a predicted model, not a curated record.
CCGCCCCCGCCACGCCCCCACCGCCGCACCUCCCCUUCUCCGCCCCUCCCGGGUGCAAGCUGAGCGCCCCACCCGCCCCUGACCUCCCCAGGCCCCUCCUCUGGACCCGCCUCUUCCCGAGAUGGGACCCCUACACACUCCCGGGGGGCUGUCACCGCACCCCACGAGUCCCAUUAGGGCCUCCCGAGUGCAAGUUCACCCAAGUGGUGACUUUUUAGGGACCCUCUUUCUCGUCUCGCAGAGACCUUCUGUGGCUACCCGCCCCCUGUCCAGGCGCUCCGACGUGGCUACUUUGCGGGUUGGGCUGUUAUAAAGGGCUGGAGGCAGCUCGACGCAAACCAGAGACGUGGCGCUUCUCCUAGGCCGGCCUAGGCUCCAGGGCCUGAUUACAGCCGGAGAACGGAACAGGGAGGAGCUGAAGAGAUCACGGUCUGGGAGACAGGAGGACACAGCUGUGGACCACAGUCGGCUUUCCCAGGGAGGCUCCCUAACUGGGGACUUUGAAAUGUAACGAGACUACUAAAUUAUUUUUUAAAAAAAAAAAAUGCCUGGAAUCAUGUUUUCCUGUAUAGAUGAACCCGGUAGAUACUACAGUAACCAUUUGACAAUUUUUCACCCUGGUUUCCAAGAUUGUCUGCCUGAUCCUGUACUUUUUUGUUUGUUUUGUUUUUUGGACAGGGUUUCUCUGUGUAGCCCCUGGCUGUCCUGGAACUCACUCUGUAGCCCAGGCUGGCCUCCAACUCAGAGAUCUGCCUGCCUCUGCCUCCCAAGUGCUGGGAUUAAAGGCCUACGCCACCACUGCCUGGUUAAUCCUAUCCAUUUUAACACAGCUGAACAGAUUACACCAUGAUGGCCACCCGUGGAUGUUUUCACAGAUGAAGGCUCUUGAACUGGAGAGGUUGAGAGAACUUUCAAUGCCUCCUCCAAUCUCUUGGGCUUCACCAAAGCCCCUUAAGGUUUCCUUUGCCCCAAGAAAGCUCCCUCCCCUUCAGUGACCAUACCCUGAAUGAUGUUAAGGAGACUAGACAUCCCUGGAAGCUGUCAUCACACACAAAUACACACACACACACACACACACACACACACACACACACACACACACACACAAAGGAGCAUUAAAGAUUAUGAUACAAAGAUUCUUGGUCCUUAAGGUAACGUUCCAGCUGUUCCACUCUGCUAGGGUGUGUGAGGGACCCUCCAGCAUCACCCCCUCCACAGUCUAACUUCUACCGAGGUUCUAUCUUCACUUCCUAAGGCUGAUCAGAAGGAUGUGACCAUGGAUUUUGUCCCUGGUUAUUCCUAAUGUGACACAGAGUGACCUGCCUCCACCCAACCCAAGUGAGUUCUGCUUACUUAUGACCUCUCAAAUUCAACCUACACUAAGCAGGGCAUUCUUUCACCUCAUAGCCAUGUUCAGCAGCCUGGUUAAGUGUGUGGGCUACGGCAGUAAGUAGCUUCAGGGUGUACCCCGACAUACCCUCAGGAAAAUGUGCUUGCUUUCUGGAUGGGGGUAGACUUCAUCUUCAACAGUUAUGUUUUCCUUGACAUGUUCAAUGAUACUUCAAGUGUUCAGUAGGGCAUCGCAAUUUACUUCUGCUAUAUUUCCAGAAAUCAAAGCAUUCUAGAAAGCUACAAGUAUUUUGUUUAUUGUGGCUGGGUUUCUAGAUAUGUUUUCUGGCAACCCAAUUUCCUUAAGAUGAAGUUGGUGCCCUCGAAGCAGUUCAAGUUGUCUUUUAGAAGCAUGGUAUGGGGAGAAGAAAAAUGCUAAGUUUAAAUGAUUUUUGGAAUAUCUACAGGAAAGGCAGAUGGUUUCUGGCAUGAAGAUAAAGCAUCCUUUUAGUUUCCUUGGAGUUAUUUUCUGACAUCCAGACUCAUAUGUCUUAAGUGUUUAUAAGCAAAGAGUGGCUGUACUUACUUUAGAAAGAUAUUUUGACUUAUUAGCUAAUGUCUUCUACAUUCUCCUGUCUUUGAGAAAUAGGGCUUUGAGGGGACAUAAAUAGUUUCAGAAAUACAUUUUAAACAUAUAUUUAGAUUUUGAAGCACACAUUUCUCUGUCCUGGUUUAUUUCAAUAUUUACCAACUGAAUUUAGCAUAAUGACCUUGGAUUCAAUAAAAGGGACAUUUGUAGAAUUAAACCAAAGGGGGCAUGUCUUCCCAAGCAAAUUAGGAGAAAUAAAGGCUGUUGGGGUCUUGUA